UGAGUUUGAUCCUGGCUCAGGAUAAACGCUGGCGGCGUGCCUUACGCAUGCAAGUCGAACGAAGCCCGGCCUUCGGGUCGGUGACUGAGUGGCAAACGGCUGAGUAACGCGUAGGUGAUCUGUCCCGAGGAGGGGAACAACUCGUGGAAACGCGAGCUAAUGCCCCAUACGCCCACCGGUUCAGCCCGGUGGGGAACUGUUCCGGCGCCUUGGGAGGAGCCUGCGUCCGAUUAGCUAGUUGGUGGGGUAACGGCCUACCAAGGCAGCGAUCGGUAGCUGGUCUGAGAGGAUGAUCAGCCAGACUGGGACUGAGACACGGCCCAGACUCCUACGGGAGGCAGCAGCGAGGAAUCUUGCACAAUGGGCGAAAGCCUGAUGCAGCAACGCCGCGUGGGUGAUGAAGGCCUUAGG
This 411-nucleotide ribosomal RNA is filed under the name uncultured bacterium. Its description in RNAcentral is "bacterial SSU rRNA". It matches the Rfam family "Bacterial small subunit ribosomal RNA", at positions 1 to 421 of the family's 1533-position model. The record is from RNAcentral.